This 417-nucleotide ribosomal RNA is filed under the name uncultured bacterium. RNAcentral's name for it is "bacterial SSU rRNA". It matches the Rfam family "Bacterial small subunit ribosomal RNA", at positions 47 to 447 of the family's 1533-position model. The record is from RNAcentral.
CCUAACACAUGCAAGUCGAACGGAGUGAAGGAGCUUGCUCUUUUCAUUUAGUGGCGCACGGGGUGAGUAACGCGUAGAUAAUCUGCCUUAGACUCUGGGAUAACAUCUCGAAAGGGGUGCUAAUACCUGAUAAGCCCACGAUGGCGAAAGUCGUUGCGGGAAAAGGGGGCCUCUGAAUAUGCUCUUGAUCUAAGAUGAGUCUGCGUACCAUUAGCUAGUUGGUAGGGUAAGAGCCUACCAAGGCGACGAUGGUUAGCUGGUCUGAGAGGAUGAUCAGCCACACUGGAACUGAGACACGGUCCAGACUCCUACGGGAGGCAGCAGUGGGGAAUUUUGCGCAAUGGGGGAAACCCUGACGCAGCAACGCCGCGUGAGUGAUGAAGGCUUUCGGGUCGUAAAGCUCUGUCUAGAGGGAAG